UCGUAUUUCUUCUGAAAAUUGUAAUGGGCAUUCUUCAUCAUCUCCUUUCUUCACUGGCGUCUCCACCGCUAUUCUCGGCGAAGUGGGUCAGUCGUUAUACCCUAGAAUAAGAUUCAAAAUCCUCUCUUUCUAUUGAUCUCUCUAAGCAAAGUGAGUGAUUUCUUAUUUGUUUUGGGUCAGCAAUGAAUCUACUCCACAUCAAUCAUCAAUAACAUAGCUUUCUGUUUCAGAUCCAACCCCCACCUUCGUCGGCUUCUCAGAUUAUCACCAUAUUCCUCCACCACUCUCCAUCCUUCUGACGCUGCCGCAGUUGAUAUGGUAAGAACCAUCUUUUUCCCAUUGUAAGUUUCCUUGAAAGUCUGAUUCUUCUCUACGAAAAUUUCACAAAGUCUUAGCAAUCUCAACGUAUUCCAUAUAGUCAAAUUUAAAACUUUGAACCAAUCAUUGUUCUAAUUUUGAACCAAACGUUAUUCAUCCAACUUUAAAAAAUUUUGUAAGCCUUAUAAAGACGAGAUUUUGUUAUUGUCGCUAAAGUGGAGAGGAAGUUAGAAGUUUGGAUACUCUUGAGAUUUUUCAAAUUGGUCUGUAAAAAUAUGUGUAUUAUAGAUAUUUUUUGUUUCGUUUUCGUGGAUGGGUAGAGAAGUUGUUGACGUGCGUAUGAACAAAGAUUGACAUUGUUCCCUUUGUUAUUUCCAUUUAGUUAACUCCACAUGAACAUGUAGAAGAGAAGAUUCCUAUCUUCCUAUGGCCUCUUGAUGGGAAAUAUUGAGAAUCAACCAAGUCUAAAGACGAGCUCAUGUACAGUGUACACAACCCGCC
RNAcentral lists this long non-coding RNA (819 nucleotides) under Brassica rapa (field mustard). RNAcentral's name for it is "long non-coding RNA (BRAP_LNC003745)". Lineage: Eukaryota; Viridiplantae; Streptophyta; Magnoliopsida; Brassicales; Brassicaceae. The record is from RNAcentral.